This is a long non-coding RNA of Panicum virgatum (switchgrass), 1982 nucleotides long. RefSeq lists it as uncharacterized. The transcript has 5 exons. NCBI's taxonomy places the organism in Eukaryota, Viridiplantae, Streptophyta, Magnoliopsida, Poales, Poaceae. The record is from RefSeq and is a predicted model, not a curated record.
UCCCCCGGUCCCCUCGCCGCCGCCGCUCUCCUCCUCGGCUCCCUCGCGGCCACCUCAAUCCCUCUCCUGCUCCCCGCUGCGCCGCCGCCGCCUCCCUCCCUCUCCUGCUCCUCGCCGCCGCCCUCUCCCUACCUCGACCGCCACCCGGCCGACUCCCCAACCGUGCUCCUCGUCCCAUCCGCCGCCGCCGCCUGCGCUGCGGGGACCGCUGCCUCGGCCCUUGCCUCGCCGCCCUCUUCAUCCUCGCGCUCGCGGGGCAUCCUCCAUGCACGCCUCUGCCUCGCCUCGCGCGCCUCUGCCUCCGCCUCGCCUCGCGCAUGUCUCCCUCGCACGCCUCCGCCUCGCGCACGUCUCCGUCACGGCGCGCCCCGCCGUCACCGGCACCAUCUCCGCCGCGCUCAAGGUCUACGUCCGCAACCCGGACCUCUUCGUGCUCGACUGCUCCCGCCUCGACGUCAACAUCGGCUAUGGCAGAUCUCCAAGGACAACCUGCUCCCGCACCCGCUGCCGCGCCCCAGCCGCGAGGAGGAGAACAAGCCCUUCCUGCUUGUCCAGGCCUCCUCGAUUCGAGCCGCAUUGUGUAGGGUUGCUUCGAUUGGGCGCGGAUUUGGGAUUUCCUUCUGGCUCUCUUACCACCAGUGCCGAAUUUGCUGCAGGUGAGCAUGUUAGGGUGCGGCGGCUUUGUGGUGGGGUUCCGGUUCAGCCACGCGGUGGCGGACUGGCUGGGCGCCGCCGAGUUCAUGGGCACGGUGGGGGAGCUGGCGUGUGGGACGGACAGGAUCUGGCCGCCCCCAACCUUGGGCCGCGACGCCAUUCCGGACCUGGCCGGUGAGCACAGCGGAUUUCAACGAAGGGAAGGAAGCAACCGGCGAUUCGCUCCGAGCCGAUCUGAUUUGCCAUGAAGCCUUCAAGAAGGAAUUCACCUUCGGGGUCCGGGUGCAGUUGAGAGGCUCCAGGAAUCUGCCGCCAUGAUCGCCAACUACCCCGCCAGGGGGGCCGUAUGUGAACCCUCUCCGUUCCUUUCAAUUUCCCUCUUCCAGCCCAAACCCUAUGCAGAAAGGGCCUUCUGCUCUUCUUCGUGUUCACAUCGCUAGCCCACAGAUUAGUUGUUGAUCAUACUGCUAUCUGUAACUUCCAUCGAGUGCUGCUCCUUUUUUCCAGUUCCGCCCACCCUCCUCUUCCAGAUAUCUAUCAUGUAAUCACAUAUAUGGAUGUCGACAGGAGCAAACAGCAUAACAGAUUUUAGGAUUCAGUCAUUGUUGCAAGGUUUUCCAGGAGUAAUUUACCAGAAUUGGAGAAGAGGAACAGGCUUUCGGGCUGCCCGCGGAGCUGGUGGCGGUGCUGCUGUCGGACCUGUUCGUGCAGUUUGACGUGGCGUGCAAGAUUACCUUCAUGCGCUGUCGUCCUGCCUCGGCUGCGCUGUCCGUUGUUCCUCGUGUUCGUUGAGCGGGCGCUUCGCUAGCGAUGAAUAUCUGAGAGGGUGGAUGAUGAGCAGUGAAGCUCAUGUUGUGGCCGGCUUCUGUGUGCCCUUCCGUCUCUGGCAAGAAGAGUCUGAUGCAUGGGACCUGAAGACUGCAUUGACUUCGGCUUGCAAAGUUUGUACCAUGGUGGUUUGCUUUUUGUUUCAGUUAGUAUUCAAAGCUAUCAGCUAGGUUGUUUGGUGGCUAUAUUUGCAUACUUGCUGUUGCAUGUAUGGUGCUUGGAUGUUCUGUAAUAUAGAUGUGCAAAUGCCGGACAGACACCUAGGAUAGUUUGGUGCUCGGAUGUAACUAUGGUGAUUGGAUGUAAUGUGAUGUUGAUUGAGAUGCCGGAUAGACACCUUAUGGAUAGGAUAUCAUGCUCUUGUUUUGUAAUAUUUUUUAUUUAAAUGCCGAACAGACACUUGAUGGCAAGGAUAACUUUGUGCUUAGAUGUGUUGUAAUAUUUAUAAUUCAAAUGCUAGAUAGACACCUAUGUUAAUAUGCUGAUGAUGUGCUUGCUAC